This 39-nucleotide ribosomal RNA is filed under the name Lactarius cf. rubidus KGP102. RNAcentral's name for it is "partial 18S ribosomal RNA". The record is from RNAcentral. Lineage: Eukaryota; Fungi; Basidiomycota; Agaricomycetes; Russulales; Russulaceae.
GUUUCGUAGUGACCUGCGGAGGAUCAUUAUCGUACAAAA